CCUACACUAAAUAAUUUUUUUAAUUUUUUUGUUCUAGUUCCCAUCCUUUUUUAAUGAACAAUACUGUUUUUGUUGAGCAUUAAUUUUUAAGCAGUUAAUUGUUUGGUACAAUUUUGAAGAGUAUUUCUUAAUUUUUAGGUAAUCCUGAAAGUGCAUCCAAGGCAGUUGAAAAGAAGCAUCCUAAACUAUUGAAAAAUCUAUAUUUAACAGAAAUAUAAUUUGACGAGGAGUUUGAAAUGUUGUAUUCAUUACAGGAGGCCUAAAAGAAGACAA
This is a long non-coding RNA of Amphimedon queenslandica, 273 nucleotides long. RefSeq lists it as uncharacterized. The transcript has 2 exons. The record is from RefSeq and is a predicted model, not a curated record. Lineage: Eukaryota; Metazoa; Porifera; Demospongiae; Haplosclerida; Niphatidae.